UUCCGGUUGAUCCUGCCGGACCCGACUGCUAUUUGGGUGAGGAUAAGCCAUGCGAGUUGAAUGGGAAACCUAAAGUUCCCAUGGCAAACUGCUCAGUAACACAUGAUCAACUUACCCUAUAGAGAAAAAUAACCUCGGGAAACUGAGGAUAAUGUUUCAUAGUUGAAUUGGCUUGGAAAAGUUUUUCGACGAAAGGGGUAAAAAAAAUGGUUUUUAUCUGCUAUAGGAUAGGAUCGUGUUCGAUUAUGGUUGUUGGUGAGGUAAUGGCUCACCAAGCCGAUAAUCGAUAGGGGCCGUGAGAGCGGGAGCCCCGAGAUGGGUACUGAGACAACGACCCAGGCCUUACGAGGCGCAGCAGGCGCGAAACCUCCGCAAUACACGAAAGUGUGACGGGGUUACCCAAAGUGUUCAAUUUUGAACUGUGGUAGGUGAGUAAUGUUCCCUACUAGAAAGGAGAGGGCAAGGCUGGUGCCAGCCGCCGCGGUAAAACCAGCUCUUCAAGUGGUCGGGAUAAUUAUUGGGCUUAAAGUGUCCGUAGCCGGUUUGGUAAGUUCCUGGUAAAAUCGGGUAGCUUAACUAUCUAUAUGCUAGGAAUACUACUAUACUAGAGGGCGGGAGAGGUCUGAGGUACUACAGGGGUAGGGGUGAAAUCUUAUAAUCCUUGUUGGACCACCAGUGGCGAAGGCGUCAGACUGGAACGCGCCUGACGGUGAGGGACGAAUGCCAGGGGAGCGAACCGGAUUAGAUACCCGGGUAGUCCUGGCCGUAAACGAUGCAUACUAGGUGAUGGCACGGCCAUGAGCCGUGUCAGUGCCGUAAGGGAAACCGUUAAGUGUGUCGCCUGGGAAGUACGGUCGCAAGGCUAAAACUUAAAGGAAUUGGCGGGGGAGCACCACAAGGGGUGAAGCCUGCGGUUCAAUUGG
This 923-nucleotide ribosomal RNA is filed under the name uncultured archaeon. Its description in RNAcentral is "bacterial SSU rRNA". It matches the Rfam family "Archaeal small subunit ribosomal RNA", at positions 1 to 909 of the family's 1478-position model. The record is from RNAcentral.